GUAGGUGGCAAGCGUUGUCCGGAAUUAUUGGGGCGUAAAGCGCGCGCAGGCGGUUCUUUAAGUCUGAUGUGAAAAGCCCCACGGGCUCAACCGUGGGAGGGUCAUUGGAAACUGGAGAAACUUGAGUACAGAAGAGGAAAGCGGAAUUCCACGUGUAGCGGUGAAAUGCGUAGAGAUGUGGAGGAACACCAGUGGCGAAGGCGGCUUUCUGGUCUGUAACUGACGCUGAGGCGCGAAAGCGUGGGGAGCAAACAGGAUUAGAUACCCUGGUAGUCCACGCCGUAAACGAUGAGUGCUAAGUGUUAGGGGGUUUCCGCCCCUUAGUGCUGCAGCUAACGCAUUAAGCACUCCGCCUGGGGAGUACGGCCGCAAAGGCUG
This 378-nucleotide ribosomal RNA is filed under the name uncultured organism. RNAcentral's name for it is "partial 16S ribosomal RNA". It matches the Rfam family "Bacterial small subunit ribosomal RNA", at positions 527 to 896 of the family's 1533-position model. The record is from RNAcentral.